CCUACGGGUGGCUGCAGUGAGGAAUAUUGGUCAAUGGGCGAGAGCCUGAACCAGCCAAGUCGCGUGAGGGAAGACGGUCCUAUGGAUUGUAAACCUCUUUUGCCGGGGAGCAAAAAGCGGUACGUGUACCGCAUCGAGAGUACCCGGAGAAAAAGCAUCGGCUAACUCCGUGCCAGCAGCCGCGGUAAUACGGAGGAUGCGAGCGUUAUCCGGAUUUAUUGGGUUUAAAGGGUGCGCAGGCGGCGAGUUAAGUCAGCGGUAAAAUUGAGAGGCUCAACCUCUUCGAGCCGUUGAAACUGGUUUUCUUGAGUGAGCGAGAAGUAUGCGGAAUGCGUGGUGUAGCGGUGAAAUGCAUAGAUAUCACGCAGAACUCCGAUUGCGAAGGCAGCAUACCGGCGCUCAACUGACGCUCAUGCACGAAAGUGUGGGUAUCGAACAGGAUUAGAUACCCGAGUAGUC
RNAcentral lists this ribosomal RNA (459 nucleotides) under uncultured bacterium. RNAcentral's name for it is "partial 16S ribosomal RNA". It matches the Rfam family "Bacterial small subunit ribosomal RNA", at positions 338 to 795 of the family's 1533-position model. The record is from RNAcentral.